AUUGAACGCUGGCGGCAUGCUUUACACAUGCAAGUCGAACGGCAGCACAAACUUCGGUUUGGUGGCGAGUGGCGAACGGGUGAGUAAUGCAUCGGAACGUGUCCUGAAGUGGGGGAUAACGCAUCGAAAGAUGCGCUAAUACCGCAUAAUCUCUGAGGAGAAAAGUGGGGGAUCGAAAGACCUCAUGCUUUUGGAGCGGCCGAUGUCUGAUUAGCUAGUUGGUAGGGUAAUGGCCUACCAAGGCGACGAUCAGUAGUUGGUCUGAGAGGAUGGCCAGCCACACUGGGACUGAGACACGGCCCAGACUCCUACGGGAGGCAGCAGUGGGGAAUUUUGGACAAUGGGCGAAAGCCUGAUCCAGCAAUGCCGCGUGAGUGAAGAAGGCCUCGGUU
Molecule: ribosomal RNA, 392 nt
Filed under: uncultured bacterium
Lineage: Bacteria
Description: bacterial SSU rRNA
Rfam family: Bacterial small subunit ribosomal RNA
Source: RNAcentral